GGGCACGGCAGUAGAGCACGUAUACCUCAUCGAUCGACACGACGACACCGACCGAGGAAUCGAGCAACGUAUGUAUUUUUUAGCAUCAGUAACUUACUAUAUGUCUAUAUGUUGUCUAAACAUCACUAACUUGGAAAGAGUAUCGAUGAUAUAAGGUUUGAGGUUUUUGCAUCAGUAAGUUAGUAUAAGGUUUGAGGUUUUUGCAUCAGUAAGUUCCAUUUUUUUAGCAUCAGUAAGUUAGUAUAAGGUUUGAGGUUUUUGCAGAUGCCUAAUAGUAUUGACGAUAUAGUAGACAUGGAAUUGGAAAGAGAAUCUAUGGGUAAUGCUACUCAAUUUGAGCAAGCAACUGUGGAAACAACAGGUGAUCAGUCACAAACUAUACGGGGUAAAUCUAGUGGAACUGAAGGCCAAGUGGAUGCUAAUUUUGUAGACCCUGAGAACGAAACUGAGAAAAAGGAGGCAAGGAAGGAGAUUG
RNAcentral lists this long non-coding RNA (475 nucleotides) under Zea mays. Its description in RNAcentral is "long non-coding RNA (ZMAY_LNC004251)". Lineage: Eukaryota; Viridiplantae; Streptophyta; Magnoliopsida; Poales; Poaceae. The record is from RNAcentral.